AAAGAUUAAGCCAUGCAUGUAUAAGCACAAGCCUAAAAAUGGUGAAGCCGCGAAUAGCUCAUUACAACAGUCGUAGUUUAUUAGAAAGUACUCUAUGGAUAACUGUGGUAAUCCUAGAGCUAAUACAUGUUCCAAUCCUCGACUCACGGAGAGGUGCAUUUAUUAGAACAAAGCUGAUCAGACUAUGUCUGUCUCAGGUUGACUCUGAAUAACUUUGCUAAUCGCACAGUCUUUGUACUGGCGAUGUAUCUUUCAAAUGUCUGCCCUAUCAACUGUUGAUGGUAGAUUAUGCGCCUACCAUGGUUAUAACGGGUAACGGAGAAUCAGGGUUUGAUUCCGGAGAGGGAGCCUGAGAAACAGCUACCACAUCCAAGG
This 375-nucleotide ribosomal RNA is filed under the name Halalaimus sp. 64L28G15. Its description in RNAcentral is "bacterial SSU rRNA". It matches the Rfam family "Eukaryotic small subunit ribosomal RNA", at positions 39 to 421 of the family's 1831-position model. Lineage: Eukaryota; Metazoa; Nematoda; Enoplea; Enoplida; Oxystominidae. The record is from RNAcentral.